Long non-coding RNA from Maniola jurtina (meadow brown), 284 nucleotides. RefSeq lists it as uncharacterized. The transcript is spliced from 3 exons. The record is from RefSeq and is a predicted model, not a curated record. Lineage: Eukaryota; Metazoa; Arthropoda; Insecta; Lepidoptera; Nymphalidae.
AAGAUGGAAGAAGAAGAUGUUGUUGAAAAUGUGAUAUCACAUGUAAAUUAUCAAAAGAUAAGUUGUUCUGCACUGAAUCAUUUUAUUUGAAGAUAACUUAAAAAUUAGAAUAAAUAUGUUGACUUCAGAAUUAGCAACAAUGUUUCAAUAUUCUUUUGUUAAAUAUAUACGAAUAAAUUAUGUAUUUCUUGUAAGAACAAUGGGCAAAUGAUCCUCAUUGCAGACACUUCAGAAACUAGUUUAUAUUGAUAGAUUAUUAUAAUUAUGAACAAAAGUUGAUAUGA